UGGCAGUGUGGUUAGCUGGUUGUGUUUUUUUGAUCACGACCACUAUCCAUACUCCCUCC
RNAcentral lists this microRNA precursor (59 nucleotides) under Tribolium castaneum (red flour beetle). RNAcentral describes it as "Tca-Mir-34_pre stem-loop". Lineage: Eukaryota; Metazoa; Arthropoda; Insecta; Coleoptera; Tenebrionidae. The record is from RNAcentral.